AGACUGAACGCUGGCGGCAGGCCUAACACAUGCAAGUCGAGCGGUAGAGAGGUGCUUGCACCUCUUGAGAGCGGCGGACGGGUGAGUAAUGCCUAGGAAUCUGCCUAGUGGUGGGGGAUAACGUUCGGAAACGGACGCUAAUACCGCAUACGUCCUACGGGAGAAAGCGGGGGACCUUCGGGCCUCGCGCCAUUAGAUGAGCCUAGGUCGGAUUAGCUAGUUGGUGAGGUAAUGGCUCACCAAGGCGACGAUCCGUAACUGGUCUGAGAGGAUGAUCAGUCACACUGGAACUGAGACACGGUCCAGACUCCUAGGGAGCAGCAGUGGGAAUAUUGGACAAUGGGCGAAAGCCUGAUCCAGCCAUGCCGCGUGUGUGAAGAGGUCUUCGGAUUGUAAAGCAACUUUAAGGUGGAGG
RNAcentral lists this ribosomal RNA (415 nucleotides) under uncultured soil bacterium. RNAcentral describes it as "bacterial SSU rRNA". It matches the Rfam family "Bacterial small subunit ribosomal RNA", at positions 26 to 447 of the family's 1533-position model. The record is from RNAcentral.